This is a small nucleolar RNA of Loxodonta africana (African savanna elephant), 233 nucleotides long. Its record names the gene U3. It matches the Rfam family "Small nucleolar RNA U3". From Rfam's summary of the family: Small nucleolar RNAs (snoRNAs) are involved in the processing and modification of rRNA in the nucleolus. Lineage: Eukaryota; Metazoa; Chordata; Mammalia; Proboscidea; Elephantidae. The record is from Ensembl.
AAGACUAUACUUUCCGAGAUCAUUUCUACGGUAUAUUACCGGAGAAGUGUUUCUGACGAUGUGGGGCAUUGGAAACGCCACUGAUAAACUGUAGGGCUCUUCCCUCAGUGCGAAGUUGGCAAGUGGUGCCACCUGGUGGUAGCUACUGCUUGCUGCUGCUGAGCCUUUUAAAAUUCUUUGGGAAGGAUAAGAGAGAGUGGUGAAGGAUAAGAGGGGAGAACAAAAGCUGAGGG